UACGUAGGUGGCAAGCGUUGUCCGGAAUUACUGGGUGUAAAGGGAGUGUAGGCGGGACUUCAAGUCCGUUGUUAAACCGAUCGGCUCAACUGAUCGCUGCGGCGGAAACUGAAGUUCUUGAGUGAGGUAGAGGCAGGCGGAAUUCCCAGUGUAGCGGUGAAAUGCGUAGAUAUUGGGAGGAACACCAGUGGCGAAGGCGGCCUGCUGGGCCUUAACUGACGCUGAGGCUCGAAAGUGUGGGGAGCAAACAGGAUUAGAAACCCUCGUAGUCC
RNAcentral lists this ribosomal RNA (272 nucleotides) under uncultured prokaryote. Its description in RNAcentral is "partial 16S ribosomal RNA". It matches the Rfam family "Bacterial small subunit ribosomal RNA", at positions 524 to 796 of the family's 1533-position model. The record is from RNAcentral.